Molecule: long non-coding RNA, 2394 nt
Filed under: Homo sapiens (human)
Lineage: Eukaryota; Metazoa; Chordata; Mammalia; Primates; Hominidae
Description: HSALNT0398218
Source: RNAcentral
ACAGGGCGCAGCCAGGACCGGCCCGGGCGGACAGACCGGCCCGCCGGGAGCCCGGGGCGGGGGGUGGAGGGGAUUGCGGUGAUGGAAGCGGGGGAGAACCGGGUUCCCAAAUUACCGGUUUCCCUUUAGACAGCCGCCGUCUGUUGUCGCCCGCUCCUCCUGUCUGCCCCGGGACCGCCUCCGCUCGGGUAUCUGUCCGUCUGCGCCCCCUCCUCCCCGGCAUGUCCGUCUGUCCAGCGCCUCCCGCGCUGUGGCUGUCUCAUAUCCCCCCCAAACCAUCACAACCAAAAUAGGGACAAGCACACACUUCGCUGGCCUGCCGUUUCUGCCUUGGACUGCCGGAUUUCCGGGUGCAUUGUUGCGGUUGGGGUCCCCACCAGGGGAGACAGACAGACAAGGGGAGACAAUCUGUUCACACUCAAGCCACAGCCCCAAAGCCCUCCCGUUCCUUUCCCCGCUCCCUUGGGGUUCUCUUGCCUGUCUUUCUCGAGCCUCUUUCAAGAGACAGGCAGCCCGUGGUCCUUCCAUCCUGUGUCCGGGAAGCUGUCCACAGCUGGGAGGUUCUAACAACUCAUCCCCAACACACACUCCCAACACCCCCCCAUCCAGUAGCUUCAUGUGACCAGGGCUGGGGCGAAUCUCCGAGCAGAGAGAAGAAAUUGAGUGUGUGACAGUGUGAAUGGAUGUGACUAUAGGUGAGCAACAGUCGGUGACAAUGUGCACAUCUGGUAUUUCCUGUGUGAGAGCAAAACUGCAGGACUCAGUGAGUGGUUUCUGUGGUUUGCACUUGUGUAUCUGGGUGUAUGGGAGUGUGUAGCCCUGCUGACUGUGUAGAUAUGAAUGUGUGUGCAGUUGUGAGUCUUGCAUGUGGUCAUCUAUGUGAAACAAUGCCUGUAUAAGUACCCAUGGAUGUGCACGGUUUUGCCUCUAGCCGUGCAUUUCUGGUUCUGUGUGUGUGUGUUUCUGGUUUUUUCGUUUGUUUUUUAGAGAUGGGGUCUGGCUGUGUUGCCCAGGCUAGUCUUAAACUCCUGGGCUCAAGCGAUCCCCGCCGUCUCAGCCUCCCGACUAGUGGGGACUACAGGCAAGCGCCACUACACUCGGCUAAUUUUCUGGUUUUUUUUGUAGAGACAGGAUCUUGCUGUGUUGCUCAGGCUGGUCUCCAAUUCCUGGCCCCAAGUGAUCCUCCCACCUCGGCCUUCCACCACAGUGCUAGGAUUAUAGGCAUGAGCCACCGUGCCUAGCCAUGUGUGUUUCUGGAUUUCUGUGUGUAACCAUGCAGGUACCUGCGUUUGUGUACAGAUUAUUUUUCAGAGCUCCCUCCACAGCAUUCAUUGCAAUGUCUAAUUAUAUAUUUGUUCCUUUGUUUACUGUCCAUCUCCCCCACUGGACUGUGCACCCUGUGAGGGCAGGACCCAAGGCUGUUGUGGUCACUGCCAGGUCCCCAGCACCACCCUGCACAGAGAAGGUGCUCAGUAAUUCCUUGUUGGGUAAAUGAAUCGAUGACUCUUAUGUCCAUGUCGAGCACACACAUCCAUGUAACCCUGCAAGUGAUUUUGUGGUACUGGGUCUUCUGUGUGUGUCUAGAAGCUGCGUGGGCCAUAGCACAGGAGGGUCUCUGUAGCCAUGUAGCUCUAAUUUUUGGCACCCCCCACAGUGCAGGGCACAUAUCAGAGCCUCAUGGCACAUAUCAGGGCCACGUGGAGUAGGAGGCCAGGUGCACUGGCUCACACCUGCAAUCCCAGCAUUUUGGGAGGCUAAGGCAGGAGGAUCACUUGAGACCUGGAGUUCAAGACCAGCCUGGGCAACAAGGUGAGACCCUGUCUCUACACAUAAUACAAAAAUUAGGCCAGGCGCAGUGGCUCAUGCCUGUAAUCCCAGCAAUUUGGGAGGCCAAGGAGGGUGGAUCACCUGAGGUCAGGAGUUCGAGACCAGCCUAGCCAACAUGGUGAAACCCCAUCUCUACUAAAAAUAAAGAAAAAAAAGCCAGGCAUGGUGGUGGGUGCCUGUAAUCCCAGCCACUUGGAAGGCUGAAGCUAAAGAAUUGCUUAAACCCGGGAGGUAGAGGUUGCAGUGAUCCAAGAUCACGUCAUUGCACUCCAGCCUGGGCAACAAGAGUGAAACUCCGUCUCAAACAACAACAACAACAAUAAAAACAAAACGAAAAUUAGCCGGGCAUGGUGGUGCACACCUGGAAUCCCAGCUACUUGGCAGGCUGUGGUGGGAGGAUCAUCAGAGACCAGGAGAUCAAGGCUGCAGUGAGCUGUGAUUACACCACUGUACUCCAGCCUGUACAACAGAGUGAGACUUUGUCUCAAAAGAAAAACAAAAAACAAAAACAAAAAUUUAAAAAACCCCUAAAAACUAUGGAUUUGAACUCUGUUGUCUUUUUUUUUU